AGAUCGUGAUGUGGGCAAUUCCUUAGUAAGACCUUGUAUCUCUCCCAUGCCUUGUAUAAGGAUUCUCCAGCUUGUUGUUCGAAGUUUUCAAUGGCUUUCUUCAAUUU
Lactuca sativa (garden lettuce) is the source of this 107-nucleotide small nucleolar RNA. Lineage: Eukaryota; Viridiplantae; Streptophyta; Magnoliopsida; Asterales; Asteraceae. The record is from RefSeq and is a predicted model, not a curated record.